This is a long non-coding RNA of Oncorhynchus nerka (sockeye salmon), 172 nucleotides long. RefSeq lists it as uncharacterized. The record is from RefSeq and is a predicted model, not a curated record. NCBI's taxonomy places the organism in Eukaryota, Metazoa, Chordata, Actinopteri, Salmoniformes, Salmonidae. The transcript is spliced from 3 exons.
UGUUUCAUAUUACAGGGGCCUCAAGGAGCGAGAGGAGAUGCAGGAAUUCCAGGGAAACCAGGACCUAAAGGCCUGCAGGCCCAGCCUGGAGCCAAAGGGGAGACAGGACCUGAUGGUGAGAAGGGUGGGGUUGGAAGAACUGGUGUGAAGGGAGAGAAAGGAGACACGGUAA